AAGAAAAUAAAAAUGCUUUCUUCAAUUGAAAAUGAAAAAAAAUAAAAACCAUGUGGUUGGUGGCUAAGAACCUAAAUGCUACUGAAAGAAGAAAUGACACAUGAACAGAAGCUAAAGUGAAUGAUGAAAAGACACAACAGUCAAAAAAUUUCAAAGUCCAAGUUGAAUAUAAAUUUAAGAGAAACCAAUUGACAAUUCCUAUUACUCAGUGUGUCUGGAUGUGACCAAACCCACCAACUCUCCCUUCCUUUUAA
This 254-nucleotide long non-coding RNA is filed under the name Vigna radiata. RNAcentral's name for it is "long non-coding RNA (VRAD_LNC012350)". Lineage: Eukaryota; Viridiplantae; Streptophyta; Magnoliopsida; Fabales; Fabaceae. The record is from RNAcentral.